UACGGAGGGUCCAAGCGUUAUUCGGAAUUACUGGGCGUAAAGCGCGCGUAGGCGGCUUACUAAGUCUGAUGUGAAAUCCCUGGACUCAAUCCAGGAAGUGCAUUGGAUACUGGUAGGCUAGAGUGCAGGAGGGGAAAGCGGAAUUCCAGGUGUAGAGGUGAAAUUCGUAGAUAUCUGGAGGAACAACAGAGGCGAAGGCGGCUUUCUGGACUGUAACUGACGCUGAGGCGCGAAAGCGUGGGGAGCAAACAGG
This 253-nucleotide ribosomal RNA is filed under the name uncultured bacterium. Its description in RNAcentral is "partial 16S ribosomal RNA". It matches the Rfam family "Bacterial small subunit ribosomal RNA", at positions 524 to 776 of the family's 1533-position model. The record is from RNAcentral.